Molecule: ribosomal RNA, 253 nt
Filed under: uncultured bacterium
Lineage: Bacteria
Description: partial 16S ribosomal RNA
Rfam family: Bacterial small subunit ribosomal RNA
Source: RNAcentral
UACGAAGGGGGCUAGCGUUGCUCGGAAUGACUGGGCGUAAAGGGCGCGUAGGCGGCAUGGCAAGUCAGGUGUGAAAUCCCCAGGCUCAACCUGGGAACUGCAUUUGAUACUGGCAGGCUAGAGUGUGGUAGAGGAUGGUGGAAUUCCCGGUGUAGCGGUGAAAUGCGUAGAUAUCGGGAGGAACAUCAGUGGCGAAGGCGGCCAUCUGGACUAACACUGACACUGAGACACGAAAGCGUGGGGAGCAAACAGG